GUGUCAGCAGCCGCGGUAAAACGUAGGAGACGAACGUUAUCCGGAGUUACUGGGCGUAAAGGGCGUGCAGGCGGCUUGAUAAGUUCGGCGUGAAAUUUCCCGGCUUAACCGGGGGAUGUCGUCGGAGACUGUCGAGCUAGAGGGUGAUAGAGGCGUGUGGAAUUCCGGGUGUAGUGGUGAAAUGCGUAGAGAUCCGGAGGAACACCAGUGGCGAAGGCGACACGCUGGGUCAUACCUGACGCUAAAACGCGACAGCAUGGGGAGCGAACGGGAUUAGAAACCCGUGUAGUCC
RNAcentral lists this ribosomal RNA (292 nucleotides) under uncultured bacterium. RNAcentral's name for it is "partial 16S ribosomal RNA". It matches the Rfam family "Bacterial small subunit ribosomal RNA", at positions 505 to 796 of the family's 1533-position model. The record is from RNAcentral.